RNAcentral lists this transfer RNA (77 nucleotides) under Candidatus Moraniibacteriota bacterium. RNAcentral describes it as "Candidatus Moranbacteria bacterium (groundwater metagenome) tRNA-Asp". It matches the Rfam family "tRNA". Rfam says of the family: Transfer RNA (tRNA) molecules are approximately 80 nucleotides in length. Their secondary structure includes four short double-helical elements and three loops (D, anti-codon, and T loops). Lineage: Bacteria; Candidatus Moraniibacteriota. The record is from RNAcentral.
GGGGGCGUAGCUCAGUUGGUUAGAGCGACUGCCUGUCACGCAGUAGGUCACCGGUUCGAGUCCGGCCGUCCCCGCUA